UACAGAGGGUGCGAGCGUUGUUCGGAUUCAUUGGGCGUAAAGGGUGCGUAGGUGGCGCCGUAAGUGGGGUGUGAAAUUUCGGAGCUUAACUCCGAAACUGCAUUCCAUACUGCGGUGCUUGAGGACUGGAGAGGAGACUGGAAUUUACGGUGUAGCAGUGAAAUGCGUAGAGAUCGUAAGGAAGACCAGUGGCGAAGGCGGGUCUCUGGACAGUUCCUGACACUGAGGCACGAAGGCCAGGGGAGCAAACGGG
Molecule: ribosomal RNA, 253 nt
Filed under: uncultured bacterium
Lineage: Bacteria
Description: partial 16S ribosomal RNA
Rfam family: Bacterial small subunit ribosomal RNA
Source: RNAcentral